GCUCCUACCGAUUGAAUGACUCGGUGAAAUCAUUGGAUCAUUUUUAUAAAUGAAAAGGUGAUUAAAUCACGUUAUUUAGAGGAAGGAGAAGUCGUAACAAGGU
Molecule: ribosomal RNA, 103 nt
Filed under: uncultured eukaryote
Lineage: Eukaryota
Description: partial small subunit ribosomal RNA
Rfam family: Eukaryotic small subunit ribosomal RNA
Source: RNAcentral